AUGAUCGUCCUUGUGAGCGCCGGCGAUGAGGCCGCGUUGCUUGCUUUCAAAGCGCAGCUUAGCCAUGGUGGCUCGCUAGCCUCCUGGAACAGCAGCACUGACUUUUGCAGCUGGCAAGGAGUGACGUGCAGCCACCGCAGGCCAGUGCGGGUGGCGGCGCUGAGAUUGAACGGCGCCGGGCUCGUCGGAGCACUCUCCCCAGCCAUUGGGAACCUCACGUCCAUGCAGACGCUCGAACUAGGCUCCAACUCGCUCCACGGAGACAUUCCGGCGAGCCUCGGCCGACUCCACCGCCUGCAGAGGCUCUACUUGAAUUACAACUCCUUCUCUGGCACAUUCCCUGCUAACUUGAGCUCUUGCACCAGCAUGACCGAAAUGAGACUGGACUACAACAAGCUUGGAGGGCACAUCCCGGCUGAGCUUGGCGAGAAGCUCACGUCCCUGACAAUAAUCUCGCUGAGAAAAAACAACUUCACAGGGGCCAUCCCGGCAUCGAUGGCCAACCUGUCCAAUCUACAGUUCCUUGAACUCACUGAGAACCAGCUCAUUGGUUCAAUCCCAUCAGGGCUGGGAAGCAUCCGGAGCAUGCGUUUUUUCACUCUCUAUGCAAAUAACGUCUCUGGUACGCUUCCACCUUCUCUCUACAACUGGUCAUCCCUGGAAGUAUUUGGUGUAGGGUCAAAUAUGUUGUACGGAAGCAUUCCGGAUGAUAUCGGAAGCAAGUUCUCCAAGUUGAGACAUCUUGGCUUGGUUCAUAAUCACUUCACAGGAACCAUCCCUUCCUCAAUAUCCAACAUAUCUUCCAUCCAAGUACUUAUGCUCUCGUCAAACAAAUUUAGUGGGUAUGUGCCUCCCACGUUGGGGAGGCUCAGACGUCUCCAACUUGUGAACUUGAGUAACAAUAAGCUUGAAGCAAAUGACAACAAGGGUUGGGAAUUCAUCACUUCUUUGGCAAACUGCAGCAGACUGCAGCUAUUGUCAUUCAGCAACAAUGCUUUUGAAGGACAACUGCCAGGUUCAAUUGUAAACCUCUCAACGACUCUCCAGUCCUUAUACUUUGGUGGAAGUAUGAUCUCUGGAAUUAUUCCUGCUGACAUCGGUAAUCUGGUUGGUCUCAAAGUUUUUGAUAUAGCAGCUACUUCUAUAUCUGGAGUGAUUCCAGAUAGCAUCGGUAAGCUAGAGAACUUGGUCAAUUUAAACUUGAUCUACCAUACCUUGUCUGGUCUCAUACCUCCAUCGCUAGGAAACCUUUCACAAUUGAUUAGCCUUCGUGCACGUGAUUGCAAUUUGGAGGGGCCAAUUCCAGCAAGCCUGGGAGAGUUGAAAAAUAUCUUUAUGAUUGAUUUGUCAAGGAAUUUCCAUCUUAAUGGUUCAAUACCAAGAGAGAUUUUAAAAUUAACCAGCCUCUCUUGGUAUGUGGACUUGUCAUACAAUUCCCUUUCUGGACCCAUUCCCAAUGAAGUUGGUAGCUUGUCAAACCUUAACCAACUUAUUCUAUCAGGAAACCGAUUGUCUGGCGAGAUACCUGAUAGUAUUCAGAAUUGCAUAGUGUUGGUACUGCUAUCAUUAGACAAUAAUUCAUUCGAGGGAGUCAUACCUCGACCACUGGCAAAUAUAAAGGGGCUCAUUAAACUAGACCUCAGCAUGAAUAAGUUCUUUGGUAAUAUUCCUGAUGCCCUUGGUAAUAUUGGAAACCUGCAAGGACUAUACCUAGCACAUAACAACUUGUCCGGGUCAAUCCCGUUAGUCCUACAAAAUUUGUCAUCAUUGUCUGAACUGGAUAUAUCCUUCAAUAAUUUGCAAGGCGAGGUGCCACAUGAAGGUGUUUUUAGAAACAUCACUUACUUAGCGGUUGCCGGGAAUAUCAAUUUGUGUGGUGGUACACCUCAACUGGACAUGGCUCCAUGCUCCAUAAGCAAGAAGACUAGAAAGAUGCCAAAGUCCCUUGUCAUUUCUUUAGCGACAGUUGGAGCAAUCUUGUUGUCACUUUCACUUGUUUUUCUUAUUUGGAUGCUUUGCAAGAAUCUCAAACCAAGCCAGAAGACAGUAGCCCAAAAUUCAAUUGUUGGUGACCGUUACAAUAGAAUCCCCUAUCAUGCAUUAUGGAAAGGAACUAACGGAUUUUCAGAAGCCAACUUGCUUGGGAGAGGAAGUUAUGGUGCAGUUUAUAAGUGUGUUUUGAACACUGAAGAAAGAACAUUGGCUGUCAAGGUUUUUAAUCUUGGUCAAUCUAGGUAUUCAAAGAGUUUUGAGGCUGAGUGUGAGAUCAUGAGAAGGAUGCGACAUCGUUGUCUCAUUAAGAUCAUUACUUCUUGUUCGAGCGUCAACCACCAAGGUCAGGAGUUCAAGGCAUUGGUUUUUGAGUUCAUGUGCAAUGGUAACUUGGAUGGUUGGCUUCAUCCAGAAUCUCAACAACCUACUACAAACAACACACUCAGCCUUGCUCAAAGGCUUGAUAUUGCUGUCGGUAUUGUGGAUGCAAUAGAAUAUCUACACGACUACUGUCAACCAUUGGUAAUCCAUUGCGAUCUUAAGCCAAAAAACAUUCUUCUUGCUGAAGACAUGAGUGCACGAGUUGGAGACUUUGGCAUAUCAAGGAUUCUGCAAGAAAAUACAAGCAAGGGGAUGCAAACUUCAUAUAGCUCAACUGGAAUUAGAGGUUCCAUAGGCUAUGUUGCUCCAGAGUACGGUGAAUGCUCUGCUGUCUCAACAGCUGGUGAUCUUUAUAGUCUUGGCAUAUUAUUGCUUGAGAUGUUUACCGGAAGGAACCCAACAGAAGGCAUGUUCAAAGAUUCAUUGGAUCUGCAUAAGUUUGUUGAGGAUGGAAUCCCAAACAGAACCUUGGAGAUAGCCGACCCAACAUUGUGGCUGCACAUCGAACGACACAAUAACACUGCUAAUAAUAGAAUCCAGGAGGUAUUGGUUUCGGUCUUAAGGCUUGGCAUAUCAUGCUCAAAGAAACAACCUCGAGACCGAGCACUGACAAAAGAUGCAGCAGCCGAGAUGCAUGCAAUCAGAGAUGCAUAACUCAAGUUUACAGGGGAGCAUGGACCAGAAAGAGAAGCCUCAACUCAAGAAAUUCAGAAUAGCAUUGGAUAA
Molecule: ribosomal RNA, 3099 nt
Filed under: Triticum aestivum (bread wheat)
Lineage: Eukaryota; Viridiplantae; Streptophyta; Magnoliopsida; Poales; Poaceae
Description: partial small subunit ribosomal RNA
Source: RNAcentral